RNAcentral lists this ribosomal RNA (400 nucleotides) under uncultured fungus. Its description in RNAcentral is "SSU rRNA". It matches the Rfam family "Eukaryotic small subunit ribosomal RNA", at positions 555 to 961 of the family's 1831-position model. Lineage: Eukaryota; Fungi. The record is from RNAcentral.
GCAAGUCUGGUGCCAGCAGCCGCGGUAAUUCCAGCUCCAAUAGCGUAUAUUAAAGUUGUUGCAGUUAAAAAGCUCGUAGUUGAAUUUUGGACUCGGUUGGAUGGUCUGCCUUUGGUAUGUACUGUCCUGACCGGGUCUCACCUUCUGGUGAGCUGUCGUGUUGUUUACUCAGCGCGGCAGGGAACCAGGACUUUUACUUUGAAAAAAUUAGAGUGUUUAAAGCAGGCAUUCGCUUGAAUACAUUAGCAUGGAAUAAUAGAAUAGGACUUUGGUUCUAUUUUGUUGGUUUCUAGGACCGAAGUAAUGAUUAAUAGGGAUAGUUGGGGGCAUUAGUAUUUAAUUGUCAGAGGUGAAAUUCUUGGAUUUAUUAAAGACUAACUUCUGCGAAAGCAUUUGCCAA